CACAGAACAAACAUUACUUUGUAUUGUGUCUACAACUUAAUAAAAAUGCUACUAAUUUGAUGGAUUGCACUAAAUAGGGGUCAGCUUUAAUUUAAUAAUUGGUGAGAUACUCUUGCUAAUCUAUGUGUAAAUUGCUUUUCAGGACUAUGAGUGUGUGUUUGGCCAUCCAGAUUUCAUAACUACAACUGAUGUUCAAUUACAAUGGAUAUUAGUCAGUCUCAGUGGACUAUACACUGUGCCUAGUUUCAUCCUCAGAGACUGAUGUGUAAGCUUAAAGUAAAGACAUCAAAUCAAAGUAUCAGCCAUAAAGAGGAAAAACAUUCAAAAUCAUAUUGUGAUACACAAGUCAAGCAAGUCUAUGACCAGCAUUAUGAUACAGGCCAAGAAAAAGCUGGAUAUUUGAUUGGAAGGGUGGCACAAAAAACAUGGGUUAUCACUAAGGAAACAAGCUCGGGAUACAGUUCACUGUUGGGACAGCAAGCCAAAUACUUCUAAACUUAUUUGAAUCACUUUUGCUGUUUAUUAUAAUAAUUCACCCAAUUGUCUUAUUAAAUAAAUAAAUUUAUAUAUAUAUACACAAUUCCUAAUAUAGAGUUUUUAAAAAUGUUUUAUUAUAAUAUUUUAAAAAUGAAACAAGAAUUUUCAUUUUAAUCUGCAAAAGCUACAUUCUGUACAUUAUUAUUUUCAAACCACAUGAUAUAUUUUUCUCUUCUCUGAUAAAAAAUAUUCCUCAUAUUGUUUGUGUCAAGUAUUUUAUUUUUAUCUAUGCAACACUAUAUUCUUAUUUUAUAAU
Molecule: long non-coding RNA, 793 nt
Organism: Physella acuta
Lineage: Eukaryota; Metazoa; Mollusca; Gastropoda; Physidae
Source: RefSeq, a predicted model, not a curated record